Molecule: long non-coding RNA, 664 nt
Organism: Nannospalax galili (Upper Galilee mountains blind mole rat)
Lineage: Eukaryota; Metazoa; Chordata; Mammalia; Rodentia; Spalacidae
Exons: 1
Source: RefSeq, a predicted model, not a curated record
CCCCUCCCUCCCCAGCCUUCCCCGGGAGCGGACGCGCCAGCGCCUCUGCCUCGCUUUUUCUUAUUUUCUCCCCCUUUCCCCUUCCUUUUCUUUUCUUUUUUCCCCUUCCCCCCUUCCACCAUUUCCCCUCGGAGGCGCUUCCCCCGGGCAGGGGCAGAGCCGGCCUCACCCCGAGCCUCUCCCCGGCCCCCGCCGCCCUAUGGCGACAGGGAGCCCCCUCCUCACCUGGGCACCAGCGGCGGCGGUCGGAGGAGCGGGACUGGCGGCGGCGGCGGCGGCCUCGGGCCAGGGUCAUCAUGGAACUAGUUCGCUGACUGACCCCCGGCCGCAGCCGUGCGUCCCGCCCGAGCGCCCGCGCCCCGCCGGCCCGGUAGGCCCCCUUUGCCCUCCUCAGUCGGCCCGGCCAUCGGCCCGCGCGCCCCACCGCCGCGCGCCGAGCAGCAUGAGGUGGUAAAGGGCCCGCGGAUGACCCCGCGCCACCACUGUGAAGCCUACAGCUCUGCGGGGGAGGAGGAGGAGGAGGAAGAGGAGGAGAAGGUAGCUACAUCAAGCUGGGUGUCAGGCAAAUCCAAAGGAUAUCAUGAAGCUUCUAGGACCUUUGGAAAACCAGAGAUUGUCUUUCCUAUUGGAAAAGGCAAUCUCUAGGGAAGCCCAGAUGUGGAAG